GAUGAACGCUGGCGGCGUGCCUAAUACAUGCAAGUCGAGCGAACGGACGAUAAGCUUGCUUCUCGGAUGUUAGCGGCGGACGGGUGAGUAACACGAGUAUAACCUACCUAUAAGACGGGUAUAACUUCGGGAAACCGGAGCUAAUAGCGGAUAAGAUUUUGAAGCGCAUGGUUGAAAAGUAAAAGACGGUCGUGCGGGCACGUAUAGAGGGAUCCGCGCUGCAUUAGCUAGUUGGUAAGGUAACGGCUUACCAAGGCAACGAUGCAUAGCCGACCUGAGAGGGUGAUAGGCCACCCUGGAACUGAGCCACGGUCCAGACUCCUACGGGAGGCAGCAGUAGGGAAUGUUCCGCAAUGGGCGAAAGCCUGACGGAGCGACGCCGCGUGAGUGAUGACGGUCUUCGGAUCGUAAAACUGUGUUAUUAGGGAAGAACAUAUGUGUAAGUAAAUGUGCACAUCUUGACGGUACCUAAUCAGAAAGCCACGGCUAACUACGUG
Molecule: ribosomal RNA, 497 nt
Filed under: uncultured bacterium
Lineage: Bacteria
Description: partial 16S ribosomal RNA
Rfam family: Bacterial small subunit ribosomal RNA
Source: RNAcentral